RNAcentral lists this ribosomal RNA (731 nucleotides) under uncultured archaeon. Its description in RNAcentral is "bacterial SSU rRNA". It matches the Rfam family "Archaeal small subunit ribosomal RNA", at positions 371 to 1102 of the family's 1478-position model. The record is from RNAcentral.
AUAGGGGACCUCGAGUGCCAGGUUACAAAUCUGGCUGUUGUGAUGCCUAAAAAGCAUUGCAUAGCAAGGGCCGGGCAAGACCGGUGCCAGCCGCCGCGGUAACACCGGCGGCUCGAGUGGUAACCGUUAUUAUUGGGUCUAAAGGGUCUGUAGCCGGCCGGGUAAGUCUCUUGGGAAAUCUGGCAGCUUAACUGUCAGGCUUUCAGGAGAUACUGUCUGGCUCGAGGCCGGGAGAGGUGAGAGGUACUUCAGGGGUAGGGGUGAAAUCUUGUAAUCCUUGAAGGACCACCAGUGGCGAAGGCGUCUCACCACAACGGACCUGACGGCAAGGGACGAAAGCUAGGGGCACGAACCGGAUUAGAUACCCGGGUAGUCCUAGCCGUAAACGAUACUCGCUAGGUGUCGGCAACGGUGCGACCGUUGUCGGUGCCGUAGGGAAGCCGUGAAGCGAGCCACCUGGGAAGUACGGCCGCAAGGCUGAAACUUAAAGGAAUUGGCGGGGGAGCACCACAACGGGUGGAGCUUGCGGUUUAAUUGGAUUCAACGCCGGAAAUCUUACCGGGACCGACAGCAAUAUGAAGGCCAGGUUGAAGACUUUGCCGGAUUAGCUGAGAGGUGGUGCAUGGCCGUCGUCAGUCCGUACUGUGAGGCAUCCUGUUAAGUCAGGCAACGAGCGAGACCCACGCCCACAGUUGCCAGCGUACUCUCCGGAGUGACGGGUACACUGUGGG